CUUGAAUUGAUUCCACGGGGCAUCUUUGAUUGUUGAAACUUUUCGGCGAUGACUUACUCCAAGUUGAUACUUUGGCUGAGGCGCAAUCAUGAAGCACAAAGUAGAUACAGUGAAUGGCAAAUCAAUUUGUAAAUUGUUAGUUCAACAAGAUCGUUUUACGGUCUGCAGCGUUUCAAUGAAAGAAGCAAAAAAAAAGAUUUCUUCUGCUGAAACCAAUGUUGACGAGGUAGAAUUUUUGCUCCAUCAUGAUCCUGUCGUGGCGGCGGCGGUUUUUUGUCAACAAAGGUUGGAAUUGAAUUUCAUCAAAUUGAAUUUCAGCAGAACCGAAACAUUCCGAGAGAUGUCAGUAUUGUGAAUGACACGAUGCUAAGCCCUCGACAUAGCGAAGCCGAUUGAAACACGAAAAGUUCUACGAGAAGUCAAAUCAGGAUAAGUGACA
This is a long non-coding RNA of Malaya genurostris, 439 nucleotides long. RefSeq lists it as uncharacterized. NCBI's taxonomy places the organism in Eukaryota, Metazoa, Arthropoda, Insecta, Diptera, Culicidae. The record is from RefSeq and is a predicted model, not a curated record. The transcript is spliced from 3 exons.